ACGGAGUGUGCCGAAAAUCCGAUCAUAGAGUAGGCA
The submitters of this non-coding RNA (36 nucleotides) gave its source as unclassified sequences. The record is from Rfam.